CUAUUCUCAGCUAUGGUUGGUUUUUUGAACCCUGUUGUAGAGUCCAUAUUUAACCUUAGAUUUACCAAGAGCUAUACAAAUAAUUGAAGGUUAAUUAGCAGAGUAACUGCAUAUAGUAAUUCUGCCAGUCUCCUUCAGACAAAA
This is a small nucleolar RNA of Grammomys surdaster, 144 nucleotides long. The record is from RefSeq and is a predicted model, not a curated record. Lineage: Eukaryota; Metazoa; Chordata; Mammalia; Rodentia; Muridae.